This 258-nucleotide unclassified non-coding RNA is filed under the name fungal sp. RNAcentral's name for it is "partial internal transcribed spacer region". The stretch from base 1 to 46 matches the Rfam family "Eukaryotic small subunit ribosomal RNA", at positions 1786 to 1831 of the family's 1831-position model. RNAcentral also lists the same sequence under 1 other name. Lineage: Eukaryota; Fungi. The record is from RNAcentral.
AAGUCGUAACAAGGUUUCCGUAGGUGAACCUGCGGAAGGAUCAUUAACUAAACCGUACGCGGCGCUCCCCUUAGCCGGGGGGUGUCGCGGACCGUUCAAACCCUCCGUGUACCAAUACCUCUGUUGCUUCCCGCUCGAGCUUCGGCCCGCGGCGGGGAGGUCUACCUAAACUCUUUUGUCUCAAUGCAGUCUGUAGAUGGCGGCUAGUCCGCGAAAAUUUAAAAGUUAAAACUUUCAACAACGGAUCUCUUGGUUCUC